UACGAAGGGGGCUAGCGUUGCUCGGAAUUACUGGGCGUAAAGGGCGCGUAGGCGGAUAGUUUAGUCAGAGGUGAAAGCCCAGGGCUCAACCUUGGAAUUGCCUUUGAUACUGGCUGUCUUGAGUAUGGGAAAGGUGAGUGGAACUCCGAGUGUAGAGGUGAAAUUCGUAGAUAUUCGGAAGAACACCAGUGGCGAAGGCGACUCACUGGCCCAUUACUGACGCUGAGGCGCGAAAGCGUGGGGAGCAAACAGG
RNAcentral lists this ribosomal RNA (253 nucleotides) under uncultured bacterium. RNAcentral's name for it is "partial 16S ribosomal RNA". It matches the Rfam family "Bacterial small subunit ribosomal RNA", at positions 524 to 776 of the family's 1533-position model. The record is from RNAcentral.